Molecule: non-coding RNA, 87 nt
Filed under: uncultured Blautia sp.
Lineage: Bacteria; Bacillati; Bacillota; Clostridia; Lachnospirales; Lachnospiraceae
Description: Purine riboswitch
Rfam family: Purine riboswitch aptamer
About the family: Riboswitches are metabolite binding domains within certain messenger RNAs that serve as precision sensors for their corresponding targets. Allosteric rearrangement of mRNA structure is mediated by ligand binding, and this results in modulation of gene expression. A class of riboswitches that selectively recognises guanine and becomes saturated at concentrations as low as 5 nM.
Source: RNAcentral
UUAUAAUGAAAACAGUUAUAUAAGCUCAUAAUAUGGUUGAGCGUUUCUACCAACUGCCGUAAAUAGUUGAUUAUAAUUCUUUGGAUU